This 429-nucleotide ribosomal RNA is filed under the name Verrucomicrobiota bacterium. RNAcentral describes it as "Verrucomicrobia bacterium partial 16S ribosomal RNA". It matches the Rfam family "Bacterial small subunit ribosomal RNA", at positions 355 to 776 of the family's 1533-position model. The record is from RNAcentral. Lineage: Bacteria; Pseudomonadati; Verrucomicrobiota.
UAGGGAAUCUUCCGCAAUGGACGAAAGUCUGACGGAGCAACGCCGCGUGAGUGAAGAAGGAUUUCGGUUCGUAAAACUCUGUUGUUAGGGAAGAAAAAAUGUAUAGUAACUAUAUACAAAAGAGACGGUACCUAACCAGAUAGCCACGGCUAACUACGUGCCAGCAGCCGCGGUAAUACGUAGGUGGCAAGCGUUGUCCGGAAUUAUUGGGCGUAAAGCGCGCGCAGGUGGUUUAGAAAGUCUGAUGUGAAAGCCCACGGCUCAACCGUGGAGGGUCAUUGGAAACUAAUAAACUUGAGUGCAGGAGAGAAAAGUGGAAUUCCUAGUGUAGCGGUGAAAUGCGUAGAGAUUAGGAGGAACACCGGUGGCGAAAGCGGCUUUUUGGCCUGCAACUGACACUGAGGCGCGAAAGCGUGGGGAGCAAACAGG